GACGAACGCUGGCGGCGUGCUUAACACAUGCAAGUCGAACGGAAAGGCCCUGCUUUUGUGGGGUGCUCGAGUGGCGAACGGGUGAGUAACACGUGAGUAACCUGCCCUUGACUUUGGGAUAACUUCAGGAAACUGGGGCUAAUACCGGAUAGGAGCUCCUGCUGCAUGGUGGGGGUUGGAAAGUUUCGGCGGUUGGGGAUGGACUCGCGGCUUAUCCGCUUGUUGGUGGGGUAGUGGCUUACCAAGGCUUUGACGGGUAGCCGGCCUGAGAGGGUGACCGGCCACAUUGGGACUGCGGUACGGCCCAGACUCCUACGGGAGGCAGCAGUGGGGAAUAUUGCACAAUGGGCGGAAGCCUGAUGCAGCAACGCCGCGUGCGGGAUGACGGCCUUCGGGUUGUAAACCGCUUUCGCCUGUGACGAAGCGUGAUUGACGGUAAUGGGUAAAGAAGCACCGGCUAACUACGUG
RNAcentral lists this ribosomal RNA (468 nucleotides) under uncultured bacterium. Its description in RNAcentral is "partial 16S ribosomal RNA". It matches the Rfam family "Bacterial small subunit ribosomal RNA", at positions 28 to 507 of the family's 1533-position model. The record is from RNAcentral.